This 428-nucleotide ribosomal RNA is filed under the name uncultured bacterium. Its description in RNAcentral is "bacterial SSU rRNA". It matches the Rfam family "Bacterial small subunit ribosomal RNA", at positions 55 to 527 of the family's 1533-position model. The record is from RNAcentral.
AUGCAGUCGACGGGCUCUUCGGAGCAAGUGGCGGACGGGUGAGUAACGCGUGAGAAUGUGCCUUGAGGAUGGGGAUAACAAUAGGAAACUAAUGCUAAGACCCAAUGUGCCUUAAGUGGUGAAAAAUGAAAAUUGCCUGAAGAGGAGCUCGCGUCUGAUUAGCUAGUUGGGGUGGUAAAAGCGCACCAAGGCGACGAUCAGUAGCUGGUCUGAGAGGAUGAGCAGCCACACUGGGACUGAGACACGGCCCAGACUCCUACGGGAGGCAGCAGUGGGGAAUUUUCCGCAAUGGGCGCAAGCCUGACGGAGCAAUACCGCGUGAGGGAGGAAGGCUUUUGGGUUGUAAACCUCAAAAAUUAGGGAAGAAGAAAGUGACGGUACCUAAUCUAAGCAUCGGCUAACUCCGUGCCAGCAGCCGCGGUAAUACG